This is a small nucleolar RNA of Sorghum bicolor (sorghum), 107 nucleotides long. It matches the Rfam family "Plant small nucleolar RNA R71". Rfam says of the family: R71 is a member of the C/D box family of snoRNAs containing the C (UGAUGA) and D (CUGA) box motifs. Multiple nearly identical copies of this snoRNA have been identified in Arabidopsis, and it is thought to function as a 2'-O-ribose methylation guide for 18S ribosomal RNA. Lineage: Eukaryota; Viridiplantae; Streptophyta; Magnoliopsida; Poales; Poaceae. The record is from Rfam.
AUUCCAUGAUGGGGACAUUCUAGGAUGUAGUCUUGGGAGCGCUCCCAUCCUUCUGGAACGGAUUCAUCAUGUUGUUGCUGAAAACUUGUAAUCUUCCCACGGAGAGC